RNAcentral lists this ribosomal RNA (433 nucleotides) under uncultured bacterium. RNAcentral's name for it is "partial 16S ribosomal RNA". It matches the Rfam family "Bacterial small subunit ribosomal RNA", at positions 29 to 507 of the family's 1533-position model. The record is from RNAcentral.
AACGAACGCUGGCGGCAUGCCUAACACAUGCAAGUCGAACGAGAACUUCGGGUCUAGUGGCGCACGGGUGCGUAACGCGUGGGAACCUGCCCUUAGGUUCGGAAUAACUCCCCGAAAGGGGUGCUAAUAACGGAUAAUGUCUUCGGACCAAAGAUUUCUCGCCUUUGGAUGGGCCCGCGUUGGAUUAGCUAGUUGGUAGGGUAAAAGCCUACCAAGGCGACGAUCCAUAGCUGGUCUGAGAGGAUGAUCAGCCACACUGGGACUGAGACACGGCCCAGACUCCUACGGGAGGCAGCAGUGGGGAAUAUUGGACAAUGGGCGAAAGCCUGAUCCAGCAAUGCCGCGUGAGUGAUGAAGGCCUUAGGGUUGUAAAGCUCUUUUACCCGGGAUGAUAAUGACAGUACCGGGAGAAUAAGCUCCGGCUAACUCCGUG